AAACAUUCAGAGACAGAAGGUGGAUAGACAAAUCUCCACCUUCAGACUGGUAGGCUCCUCCAGAAGCCAUCAGACAGGAAGAUGUGAAAAUCCCCAGCACUCAUCCCAGAAUCACUAAGUGGCACCUGUCCUGGGCCAAAGUCCCAGGACAGACCUCAUUGUUCCUCUGUGGGAAUACCUCCCCAGGAGGGCAUCCUGGAUUUCCCCCUUGCAACCCAGGUCAGAAGUUUCAUCGUCAAGGUUGUUUCAUCUUUUUUUUCCUGUCUAACAGCUCUGACUACCACCCAACCUUGAGGCACAGUGAAGACAUCGGUGGCCACUCCAAUAACAGCAGUCACAGCUGCUCUUCUGGAGGUGUCCUACAGGUGAAAAGCCCAGCGACCCAUCAGGAUUUAAGUUUACCUCAAAAAUGGAAGAUUUUAACAUGGAGAGUGACAGCUUUGAAGAUUUCUGG
RNAcentral lists this long non-coding RNA (454 nucleotides) under Homo sapiens (human). RNAcentral describes it as "HSALNT0047242". The record is from RNAcentral. Lineage: Eukaryota; Metazoa; Chordata; Mammalia; Primates; Hominidae.